Molecule: ribosomal RNA, 773 nt
Filed under: uncultured marine haptophyte
Lineage: Eukaryota; Haptophyta
Description: bacterial SSU rRNA
Rfam family: Bacterial small subunit ribosomal RNA
Source: RNAcentral
UAUCCGGAAUCAUUGGGCGUAAAGCGCCUGUAGGUUGUUUAAUAAGUCCGUUGUUAAAGACUAGGGCUUAACCCUAGGAAGCGAUGGAAACUGAUAGACUUGAGUAUGGCAGGGGUAGAGGGAAUUUCUAGUGUAGCGGUGAAAUGCGUAGAUAUUAGAAAGAACACCGGUGGCGAAAGCGCUCUACUGGACCAUUACUGACACUGAGAGGCGAAAGCUAGGGGAGCGAAAGGGAUUAAAUACCCCUGUAGUCCUAGCCGUAAACGAUGGAUACUAGAUGUUGUGCAAUUUGGACAGUAUCGUAGCUAACGCGUUAAGUAUCCCGCCUGGGGAGUACGCUCGCAAGGGUGAAACUCAAAGGAAUUGACGGGGGCCCGCACAAGCGGUGGAGCAUGUGGUUUAAUUCGAUGCAACGCGAAGAACCUUACCAGGGCUUGACAUACUACAGAUCUUUUUGAGAAAGAAGAGUGCCUUCGGGAAUGUAGAUACAGGUGGUGCAUGGCUGUCGUCAGCUCGUGUCGUGAGAUGUUGGGUUAAGCCCCGCAACGAGCGCAACCCUCGUUUUUAGUUGCCAAUUUAUUGGGAUCUCUAGAAAGACUGCCGGUGACAAACCGGAGGAAGGUGAGGAUGACGUCAAGUCAGCAUGCCCCUUAUGUCCUGGGCCACACACGUGCUACAAUGGUAAAGACAAAGAGUCGCCAAUUCGCGAGAAUGAGUUAAUCUCAUAAACUUUAUCUAAGUUCGGAUUGUAGGCUGCAACUCGCCUACGUGAA